This 1377-nucleotide ribosomal RNA is filed under the name Mythimna pallidicosta. RNAcentral describes it as "16S ribosomal RNA". The record is from RNAcentral. Lineage: Eukaryota; Metazoa; Arthropoda; Insecta; Lepidoptera; Noctuidae.
GGGGGUAAAUUAAUAAGUUAUUAAAUAAAAAAAAAAUUUUUAAGUAAAAUAAUAUUUAGGGGUUGAAGUAUAUUUUAUAGAAAAAAUUAAAUAAUUUAUAGUAAAUUAGUAUUGUAAAAGAAUUUUGAAAUAGAUGAAAUAUUAAAAUUGAAUGAAAGUAAUUUUAAUUUAGUGUAUCUUGUGUAUCAGAGUUUAUUAAAAUAAAUUUUUGAAGAAAAAAAUCUCGAAUUUAAAAGAGUUAAUUAAUUAAUAAAGUUAUUGUGGCAUAAAUAUUUUUUAUAAUUAAUUUGAAAUGAAAUGUUAAUCGUUUUUAAAUAUAUCUAGUUUUUUUAGAAAAAAAUUUAAUUUUUUAUUAUUUAAUAAAUAAAUUAAUUAAUUUAAAUUUAUUUAAUUAAUAAUUUUAUAUUUUAAGGGAUAAGCUUUAAUUUAAAUUUAUAUAAUUAUAAUUUAAAAUAUAAAUAAAUUGAAAUUUAUAUAAUUUAUAUUGUUAAAAAAAUUUAAUUUAUUAUAAAUAAUUUCAUUUAAAAUAAAAUUUAAAAAAAUUUUAUAUUUUUAUAAAAAAAAAAUUUAAAAUUUUAAAUAAUUUAAUAUAAUGAUAAAAUUAGUAUAUGAAAAUUUUAAAAAUAUUAUUUUUAAAUGAAUUAAUUAAAAGGAAUUCGGCAAAUAUUUAUAUUCACUUGUUUAUCAAAAACAUGUCUUUUUGAAAAUAAUAUAAAGUCUAAUCUGCCCACUGAUAAUAAAUUAAAGGGCUGCAGUAAUUUGACUGUACAAAGGUAGCAUAAUCAUUAGUCAUUUAAUUGAUGACUUGUAUGAAAGAUUGGAUGAAAUAUAAACUGUCUCUUAAUUAUAAAUAGAAUUUAAUUUUUUAAUUAAAAAGUUAAAAUAGUUUAAAAAGACGAGAAGACCCUAUAGAGUUUUAUAAUUUUAAUUAAUUAAGAUUUUUUAAAUAUAUAAAAUUAAAAUUAUUAAUAUUAUUUUGUUGGGGUGACAGAAAAAUAAAUUUAACUUUUUUUUAAAUAAAACAUAUAUAAGUGAGAAUUUGAUCCAAUAAUAUUGAUUAUAAGAAUAAAUUACCUUAGGGAUAACAGCGUAAUUUUUUUUUUUAGUUCACAUAAAAAAAAGAGUUUGCGACCUCGAUGUUGGAUUAAGAUAAAAUUUAAAUGCAGAAGUUUAAAAUUUUGAUCUGUUCGAUCAUUAAAAUCUUACAUGAUCUGAGUUCAAACCGGUGUAAGCCAGGUUGGUUUCUAUCUUUUAUAAAAUAAAAUAUUUUAGUACGAAAGGAUUAAAUAUUUAAAUUAAAUUUAUAUAAUAAGAAUUUUAUUAAAUUUUAUUUAAAUAAAUUAAAUAUAAUUAUAAUAUAUAUAUAUAUAUAUAUAU